RNAcentral lists this ribosomal RNA (194 nucleotides) under uncultured eukaryote. RNAcentral describes it as "partial 18S ribosomal RNA". It matches the Rfam family "Eukaryotic small subunit ribosomal RNA", at positions 1 to 194 of the family's 1831-position model. The record is from RNAcentral.
UCAACCUGGUUGAUCCUGCCAGUAGUCAUAUGCUUGUCUCAAAGAUUAAGCCAUGCAUGUCUAAGUAUAGUAAUUAUACUGCGAAACUGCGAAUGGCUCAUUAUAUCAGUAAUAGUUUAUUUGAUAGUACCUUACUACAUGGAUAACCGUAGUAAUUCUAGAGCUAAUACAUGCGCAAAAUCCCGACUUUUCGG